UCCGUAGGUGAACCUGCGGAAGGAUCAUUAAUGAAGCUCAUGGGUGGGCUGUAGCUGGCCCCCCCCCUCUCCCCCUCUGUCAAAUAGAGGGGUUGUAGCUGGCCUUAGGGGGGCAUUUUUGUGCACGCCUGUUCCAUCUUCUCCAACUCCUUUCUCAUAACAAUCCCUUGUGAAUGCAUUUGCAUAGUGGUGGAAGUGUUUCUGGGAGGCUUUGUCCUUCGUUCCCUGUACCUGCCCUUUGAGAGCUCCCUGUUUCAUCCUGUACACUCCCUUAUGCAUGUAAUCUGGAAUGUGUAUGGUGCAUUAUUUAACACAUCUAUAUACAACUUUCAGCAACGGAUCUCUUGGCUCUCGCAUCGAUGAAGAACGCAGCGAAAUGCGAUAAGUAAUGUGAAUUGCAGAAUUCAGUGAAUCAUCGAAUCUUUGAACGCACCUUGCGCUCCUUGGCUAUUCCUUGAGGAGCACGCCUGUUUGAGUGUCGUGUAAUUCUCAACCUACAUGUUCCCUUCUUGAAUGAAAGAGAGGGGGGUUUGUUAGGUUUGGACUAUUGGAGGGCCCCUUUUUGCUGGCAAUGUUGUUGCUGGCUCCUCUGAAAUGCAUCAGCGAGAGAGUGGGCAUGCACUGGUGUGCGCAUCCCAUGCAUGUAGUGUGUGGUGUGCAUUGCGUUUGCUGAGCUUUCCCCAUCAUCUCGUCUCUCGGUGUGAUAAAGCUUUGUCUUAUGCCGUUCGACCGUGAAGCGUUUUGUUGGUCAUGUAGUGCUCUCUUACAGUUGUGCGAGUCCUCAUUUACCUUGGGGCAAGCCUUUUUCUUUUGAACCCUUUGACCUCAAAUCAGGUGGGACUACCCGCUGAACUUAAGCAUAUCAAUAAGCGGAGGAAAAGAAACUAACAAGGAUUCCCCUA
Molecule: ribosomal RNA, 902 nt
Filed under: Amylosporus sp. BAB-4996
Lineage: Eukaryota; Fungi; Basidiomycota; Agaricomycetes; Russulales; Wrightoporiaceae
Description: eukaryotic LSU rRNA
Rfam family: 5.8S ribosomal RNA (bases 325-481)
Source: RNAcentral